This is a long non-coding RNA of Numida meleagris (helmeted guineafowl), 1385 nucleotides long. RefSeq lists it as uncharacterized. Lineage: Eukaryota; Metazoa; Chordata; Aves; Galliformes; Numididae. The record is from RefSeq and is a predicted model, not a curated record. The transcript is spliced from 3 exons.
GGAACUGUGGGUUAAAUUUUGUUGUAAGAGCUGACAGCAACUGCAUUCUGAAGCUGAAGGGAGCAGAAAAAAAACACCUGAACAGCUGAAUUUUUCUUGUCCUCCUUGUGCACGAAGCCAAACCUCAUACUGUAGAAAUGCUUGUUGGGAACUGAUCCCUCCUAAAGUUCGAGCAGACACUACACGUCUGUGCCAAGGAAUCCUACUGAAGCUUUAGCACUGAAAUUGCGUGGAUAAUUGUAAUGGGGAAUGCUUGUGGAUCUGCAGCGUGUGGUGGACCAAGAUCUGCACUCACAGAACACUUGCUUUUUUCCUCUGGUGAAUAGGGUGCUAAAAAUGUGGAAUCCAGUCACUUUUUAAUUCAGUGAGAAUUUUGAACCUAUGUGAUUUUUGUACUGUUAUUUGCUUAGGAAGUGUAAAACAAACUAUCAGAAGAAUAUUUCUCUUAAGUAUGUAGUGAAAUAAAGCUAAUUUAAAAAAUACACUUUGUAGGAAAUUACACUUUAGAAAAGUAUUUUGCUGUUUCAAAGUGAGAAAAUUGAAGUCAUGUCUCAGGACAACCUGCUUUUAAGAAGACAAAUGACUGUAGUAAUUACAAUACUAUUUUUGCCAGUAAUGUAAUGUUUGUUGAACAGAGUUUUGGACAUGUGUAGUAUACACAACUAUUUCUUGCUCUUUGCUCUGUGUGUUUGUUUUUUCCAUUAGGAGGAAUUCAUAAUUGCAGAGAAGAGUCCCCAGUGUGUCUGUGUAUGAAUGGGUAGCCUUCUCCAUGGAAAAAGGAGGGAGGUCUAAAAUGUAGAGAAGCUGAGUCAAUUACCUUGUAUAGAAAAGCAUGAACGAUUUUGAUAAUUUUUUCUACACAGAAGUACACAACAGCCAUUUAAAGAGACAUUUAUAAGUAAAUGUGCCUGCAAUUCUAAGUAAAAUAGUCUAAUAAACACAAGGCAGAUUACACAAGAAAGAAAAUUACUUCUUUCAAAUCUAAAGAAGCUGUAUCUUCCUAGAAGUUUCACAGUUGCCUUCUGUUUUUUAUAUACGCACUCAGUAGUACAACAGCAAUUAAUUCCUAACUGGAAAUAAUGGAAAAUUGUAAGGUUCUAUCAGCUUUGUUUCUCACUUUUCUCAAAAGACUCAUUUUUUUUAAUCCCUGUUAAUAUAUUUCAUAUUUUGUCAGUAAUGUGAUAAAACGUCAUCUCCUUUUUUCCCCAAUAUUUUGAAAUGUAGAAUAAAAAUGUCAAUUCAUUUUCAACUAUCUCUUUAACAUUCAUUACAGAGGAAUUUUUUCUCAUGAUUUCCAUGAAGCUUGCAUUUAUUUCCAUUAUUUCUACUAAUUCUGCAUGGGUGAGCAACAAUCUAACAUUUUCUGCUAAUGACAAUAGUUGAAA